RNAcentral lists this long non-coding RNA (9113 nucleotides) under Triticum aestivum (bread wheat). RNAcentral's name for it is "long non-coding RNA (TAES_LNC014528)". Lineage: Eukaryota; Viridiplantae; Streptophyta; Magnoliopsida; Poales; Poaceae. The record is from RNAcentral.
CUAUGGGCGUGCGGCGGCGCGGUACAUGGCCAUGGGGAUUGGGAUCCCCCCUUGGUCGCACUAAGAAGAUGAGGGAGGAGACGAACGAGGGGAGAGGGAUCGGGCUGUGGGUCUCUCUCUGGUGCUCGAUACGUGUGUGGUGGCGGCGCCGAGGAAAAAGGACGGGAGGAGGAGGGAACGAGAGAUGGAGAGGGUGGUUGCGAUCGGCUAGGGUUAGCAGUGUGCUGCGGGACUCCUUGGACCAGGGAGGCCGGCCCAUCAGAGAGGGUUAGGUAGGCUAGGCUAGCUGCGCAAAUGGGCCGGUCUAGAUGGACAGACCCAAGAGGUUGGCUGGGCUGGCUCUCUUCUCUCUCCCUCUAAUUCUCUUUUACUCCUUUAUUUCCUGAUUUAACAAAUAAACUGAGGAAUAAGAAAUGUAGAGAGAGAUAGGAGAAGAAAUUGAGCAGGGAGCCAAUUUUCUUGGACUCAUAAAAAUGAGCUUGAUCCAAGAAAAAUACAUUUGGCACCGUUUGGAAGGAUUGCAUUCGAACACAUUUGAAUGUGAUUCAAAUGAGUUUGAAUUAGGAAAACAUUUUUGGAGAGUCCAAGAAUGUUUGGAAUAUUGGUGGAGCUCCGGAAAAUGGAGAAAGGAUAAAAGCAAAGUUUGGGGACCAAACUCGAAGCAAGAAAAGGCAUGUGAUUAUUUGUAAGUGUGUUCAUGGGUAAAUUCAAAAGAAUGGAAAUAUUUAUAAUAGCUCCCUAAUAACGGGAGGAUAUGUUAUAAAGAGAAUCACCAAGUGAAUUCCCUCGGUUUAAAUGGAUCAAAGAUCCAUGCCAUUUAUUUAGAUGAGAUGCAAAAGAUUUAUGACAUGAUGACAUGAUGCAAAGCAAACAUAAAAGGAGCAAGUAAAAAUAAAACACACAGAGAAACCCGGGAACCCUGGAAGGCAACUGAAGCUCCGGUCUUGGGGCGUUACAACACUCCACCACUACAAGAGGAUCUCGUCCCGAGAUCCAGGAUGGCACCGGAGGGAAAAGGAAGAGGAAGAGAAGAAGUAAAACUAAGUUGCUUCUUUGACAAACGAGUGAAACCACGAACCUUGAAAGGUUGAACAACUUGAAAGAAAGAAAAACAACAGAGAUGAACAAAGUUGAGAACACUCCGUUAGAAAAUAGGAACAAGGAAGAACAAAUUCGGAUAACACUCCGGUAGAAAAGAGAAGAAAGAAUAGAUAAGUAGAAAAGAACUUGAGCAGAGGACCUGACACCCCGGUUAAAAGGAUAAGCAUGAAAAGAACACGAUCCUGACAAAACAAGAAGAUGGGUUGAAGAGAGGAACAUCACAAAGCCUCCGGAAGGAAGAAAUAGAAGAUAGAUAAUUGAAAUAAAAGAACUGAGAAGAAAAUGCCAACUUCUGUCACAAAAGAGCUUGAAAAGGCAUCCUUAGGAGAAGGUUCGAACGGAGUUGUUGGAAAAACCAACAACAAAAAGAGUAAGCUUGUUGUGGGCUUAUGGAAAACAUCUCAAAAUUAUGAGGUGAAAUUCUGCCACUAACAAAAACAAAAGAUUGGAUUGAUAUGAACAAGGAGACGAGAAACUUAUCUCACCGGGGGGAUAAAUGAAAGAACUUGGGUCAUUUAUGAGCACCAUAGAUAGCAACAAUCCUUAGGGAAGGCUUUAGGUGAAGUAUAACCCAAGAUAACUCCAAGGAAGAAGGUGAUGGGUUUAAAAUACCUCAUUCUUAACAACAUGUGAAUCAUGAAAAUGAGCUCAAAUUAUCAAGAAUGACAUAAUACCACCUCCAAUGAUACGAUAGAAAGAAUUGCACUCCGGAUUGCAAGAUGAAGAAUGCUUGAGCUCCUAUGAAAAGAAUCUCGAUGAAUCCUUCGAGAAGGAAUUAAAUCUUUGAUGAACCAUCAUGUAGAGCCUCCGUGAAGAACUCCGGUAAUAAAAGAAUGAUCAAACGAAAUGAAGGAUGAAAGCUUGGAACUCCGGGAAAAAGAAAAGAUGAACCAAUUGAAACCGAGAAUUUGAUGAACCUCCGGAAUAAUUGAAUUUACUCGAUGAAACAAGAAUAAGAAUUACAUUAUGCUUAUCCUUCACCAAUUUAAAUUGAUGACAAGCAACGGAUUUGGCAUACUACUUAUUCUCGUAGAAAGGAUUAAGAUAGAUAUAGCGUAAACUUGAGAAGGUCUUCGACGAACCACCGGUAGGGUUGAAACAACGAAUAAAUUGAUAUGAUAACGAAGGAAGAGAAGUCUUGAACGAACCACUGUAAGAAUUAAAUGACCGAAGGAAAGAUAAAGGAACACCAAGAAGAAUUAUGAAAUGAACGAGGAUACUUGAGAGAAUCUAGAUACAUGAGAAUGAAGGGAUCACGAACUGAUUAGAGAUCACUUGAACGAAGCACCGGUAAGAUUUGGAGAACCAUAGCUGAAAGCUGAGAAUGAAUAAAUUCUGAGAUGAUGGGCUCCGGAGAAACAAACUGAAAAGAAUCUUGAAUUGCUUCAGAUGGGUGAAAAGAAUUCUCACAAUCAAAAACAAUUAUGAGAGGAUGGCAACAAGCUAGGAUCACGAAUCUUGAAGAGAAUGGAGCAAGAUUAAAGAGAAACUCUUCUUUGGUCUUCAAAAUCCGAGAAUGACGACGAGAAACCCCACCAUGAAUUAUUUAGACACUCCGGAAUGAAGAAUGGAAAUGUUGAGCCAACGAUGAAAAGAAUUUAACCGAUCUUGGAGAAAGGCAUUUGACUGAUGAUAAAUCAUUCUUACGUCAAACUUUGAGAUGAAUAUGAGAAUAACUCCGGAAAUUAGAAGAGUCGGGUAAGAUCCUAGGGAAAAUACCUGUGGGUUAGGGCCCACUCAAGAGAAAACACUGUUAGAAUGAUUAAAAAGAGAGAUUGCACCGGUUGAAUUAAAAGGCUUGAAUGAGAUAACAUCCUCAAAAUAGCUUGAACGGAUUAAGGGUGGAAACACGAAUCUUCUGAGAUAUCUUUAGCACUCCGGAACAAAUGGAUGGCGAGAAGUGAAUGAUUAUGAGGUGCACCGGCAUAAGAAAAAACAUUGGACAAAAAGAAAAGACAAUGCCCAAUACCAAAGUUUGAAUUCGAUCCACCGGAGAAGGAAAAUGAGUGAGGAAUGAUGAACUAGAAGAGCAUCUUCAUGUGAACCACCUGGUAGAACAUUGGAAGAAAAUAAUGAAGAGACUUCACAAGAAUAAAAGGAUGCUUGAUUAAGAAAUCUGAGUCCUCGAAGAAAAAGGGUGGGAGGGCGGGAAAACAAAGGCAGCUUGGGACGAAUGAAAUGAACACCGUUGAGAGGACUUGAGUUGAUCUUGCGAAUGUUGACAAAGAUUGGAUCCACUUGAAGAGAAACACACCGGUUAAAAAGGAUUGACAUGACAAUCUCGAUGAACAAGAAGGAUUAGUAUUCACAUAGGAGUAUGAGAACACCAUUCAGGAAAGGUAUGGAAUCAACACUUGACAUUGAAGCAACUCAAAUACCACAACUCAAAACAAAAACAAAGGGUUGGCUUGCAGAAUAAGCUGGAACAAACAUAUGAUAAAGAUUUCGUCCGAAGUUUUCGUGGUGGGGCCUACACGGGCUCGAUCGUACAGCACCAUCAUGUACAAGGCAGUGCACAUGACAUACGAAGCGUCCCCGAGUCGGCAUAGCCAAGGACUCUUUAAGACACAACAAAACCACUGUAAAACCGACCGUGAAUAGGCGGACCACUAGACGUCGAACCCCAAUUUCAUAUCAUACAUCUGUUGGAAAGAUAUCCUAAGAACUACUUGAUUUCCCACCUAUGAAACUCCCGAACCUUUCCGGUUAUGCAAUCAGGUGUUGGGGAUACAGGGGAAGCAUAAUAUCUCACCCAAAACUAGCAAAUCCUACAUCAAGCUGUAUCCAUCCUUCAACACAUAACCAAGAAACCUUUGGAAAUCAUCUACCUCAACCUUUGAAAAGCAUCCGUUAUACAAGUUAUGGCAAUACUCCCGAACUCUCGCCCCAGUACUGGGUGGCGUCGAGGUUAUCUCACCAACGAACUGCAUAAAAGAGAUUUUCGAUGUCGGCGUACUAAAUUCAGGUAUUCCAGAACUGCAACGAUAAAAUUGUGACGACAACACCUCGGAGCUCAACUCCCCGGGACACUGCCACAACCCCUAAAUGUCAGGAGGCACCAAGAACAAUGUUCUCGUCACAAAACCAUCGGAACGAUUCCAAGAUACCCGCGUGAUCCUAAUUUUUUUUUGUGAAAUUUGAGAAGAGUCAAAACUCUACGUCAGGAUGCCUCACCAGAGCGACGAAGGGACUGAGGAGUAAAAAGAAGUCCUAACUCUCCGAUAUAUAUAAUUCCUAAAUGACUCAAAACAUUUUUCUAGACUCAACAACGCCAGCUAUUCGAUCAAGCAGGGGGCUCCUAAGGUCGGGGAAGGCUCUGAUACCAACUUGUAACGCCCUCGAUGCGGCUAUAUCUCCCACGUGUCGAAGCACGACUUAGAGGCAUAACCGCAUUGAAAGCAAUGUCCAAGUGAGGUAAUCUUCACACAACCCAUGUAGUACAUAAGGGAAAGAGAUACAUAGUUGGCCUACAAUCGCCACUUCACACAAAUACAUGAAUAAAGCAUUACAUCAUCCAAAUACAAUCAAGGUCCGACUACGGAACCAAAAUAAAAGAAGAGCCCCAAAUGCGACACGGUCCCUGAUCGACCCCAACUGGGCACCACUACUGAUCAACUAGAACGAAACAACACAAAGGACAAGAUCUUCAUCGAGGUCCUCCUUGAGCUUGGUUGCGUCACCUGCACGGUUCAACGGCACCUGCAAGCUGGUUUUGGAAGUAUCUGUGAGUCAUGGGGACUCAUCAAUCUUACACCCUCGCGAUCAAGACUAUUUAAGCUUAUGGGUAAGAUAAAGGUAUGAGGUGGAGCUGCAGCAAGCGACUAGCAUAUAUGCUGGCUAACAUACACAAAUGAGAGCGAGAAGAGAAGGCAAAGCAUGGUCGAUAAAAGUAUGAUCAAGAAGUGAUCCUAGACAACCUACGUCAAGCAUAACUCCAACACCGUGUUCACUUCUCGGACUCUGCCGAGAAGAGACCGUCAUGGUUACACACGCGGUUGGUGUAUUUUAAUUAAGGUCAACUUCAAGUUUUUUACAACCGGACAUUAAAAAAUUCCCAUCUGCCCAUAAUCACGGGCACGACUUUCGAAAUGUCAAAUCCCUGUAGGGGUGUCCCAACUUAGCCCAUGACAAGCUCUCAUGGUCAACGAAGGAAUAGACCUCCUCCCGAGACAUUCCGAUCAGACUCGGUAUCCUGGUUCUACAAGACAUCCUCGACAAUGGUAAAACAAGUCCAGCAAGACCACCCGAAGCGCCGACAUCCCGAUAGGAGCUGCACAUAUCUCGUUCUCAUGGCACAGCGGAUAAGCUAAGCGUACGGGAGCCAAGGUAACCCAAGUUGCCAAGGGACGGCCCCGCACGGUGCUCUGGGUUGGACCAACACUUAGACAAGCACUAGCCCGGGGGUUUAAAAAUAAAGAUGACCCUCAGGAUGCGUGACUCCCAAGGGAAAAAGGCUAGGUGGCGAAUGGUAAAACCAAGGUUGGGCCUUGCUGGAGGAGUUUUAUUCAAAGCGAACUGUCAAGGGGUUCCCAUUAUAACCCAACCGCGUAAGGAACGCAAAAUCCGGGAACAUAACACCGAUAUGGCGGAAACUAGGGCGGCAAGAGUGGAACAAAACACCAGGCAUAAGGCCGAGCCUUCCACCCUUUACCAAGUAUAUAGAUGCAUUAAUUAAAUAAAAGAUGUUGUGAUAUCCCAACAAAAUACCCAUGUUCCAAACAUGGAACAAGCUCCAAUCAUCACCUGCAACUAACAACGCUAUAAGAGGGGCUGAGCAGGCGGUAACAUAGCCAAACAACGGUUUGCUAGGACAAGGUGGGUUAGAGGCUUGGCUCAACAAUAUGGGAGACAUGAUAAGCAAGUGGUAGGUAUCGCAGCAUAGGCAUAGCAAAAGAGCGAGCAACUAGCAAGCAAAGAUAGAAGUGAUUUCGAGGGUAUGGUCAUCUUGCCUGAAAUCCCGCAAGGAAGAAGAACGAGUCCAUGAAGAAGACAAAUGGACGUUGACAAAUGGGUCCUCACAAACACGACGUUACCCGAACCAAACCGAAGAAGCAAACACCAGAAAAGAAGCAAACCACAUAGUAAACAACCAACACAUAAACAUGGCAUGAUGCACAAUCGAGUAUGAUGCAUGUCCGGCUUAAUGAAGUAUGGCAUGGCAAAAAUGCACAAACAAUCCUACAAAUUAAGUGGAGCUCAAUAUGCAACGGAGUUUCAUAUUGAAGAAAACACCACAUGACUUAUUUAGAUCGAUCUUGUUUAUGUACCCAACAAUAUUAAAUGUUGUUAACCAUGGCAAGAGGUGAAGCAAAGUAAACUACACAAUCGAAGCAAUUUAAAUGGGGCCGGAACCAUCAAACAACAAUUCUGGUAAAUCCCCAUAUGCAUUUAGCAAUUUGGUGCAACAACAAUUUUAAACAUAUUAAAUGUUGUUAUCAUGAUGCGGAUGUCAUGUUCAAGUUAUGCAAGUUUAAGAGAAUGUUGACAUGAGGGUGAUGAGAGCAUUUGUCACGUGGUAGAAAGAAAGGGGUGCCACGGCAACGAAACGAAAAUGAUGCCGCGACAACAUUCCGGUUCCGGUAACUCGAUUGAGAAACCGAUGCAAAGGAUAAGUGUGCGGAUGCAUGCAACAGAUGGUGGGGCACUCCCGGAUACCGGGUGUCCCACGAGUUAGUGGCAUGGAAACGACUGACAAUACGGACACGAUGCAGACAAAGGGUGUAUCUCAUCCAACAUGCAUUGAUUCGUUCACGGGCGUCGUCUUGGGGUUAUACCUUCGAGGUGAGACCUUUCGGAAUGGAUCAAGUUCUUAGCGGAAGUAGACGGUCUCGCCACGUUCGUAGAGGUAGUAGUUGUACUCAUGCCGUAGUGGAAGUAGUCGAACUUGAUGGAACCAAGGUCCUCGAGGGUAGUCGUGGUACUCAUCGCGUUCCGAAACUGAAGUGGUACUUGGCGAUAUCCGGGACGGUUUUGACGUUUUGGUGCGGUGUAGUGGUACAUGUCAACGGUCAUCGUGGUACUUUGUUCCGGUCCUGUAGUCGUACUAGGCCUCGGUGGACCUUCGAGGAACUUGCGUAUCUGAAGGGGUAUUGGCGAUCGACGGACGUCGUGGUACUUGUCGGUCCACGAAGUCAUUCUCAUAGGUCUUGGUGAUUCGUUUGGUACUCGUUUAUGUAGUAGUCAUACACGUGUCUUCGGUGGGAGUCUUCGGCAGAGGUACUUGACGUUCCGGUGCGGUAGUCGUCCGCGUGGUCCUGCGGUCUUGAUAGUUCGAAGGGGUGCUUGGCAUUCUCCAUCUUGUGGGUCAUGGUACUUGGCGUGGAGGAAACCAUCUGGGCUGCCAUUCAUUGGAAAUGAUCUACACCAGGGAAGAUUAAUGCAGCGGCGGCAGCAACCAAGUUGAACGAAGGGGACGGCUCAGACAGGAGCUUUUGCACGAGGAGGAGGCAGACGAAGAGCACCGAGGUGGAGGCAGCAUUGCUCCUGGUGGUCAUCGGCGGACAGGCGACGAGAAGAGGAGGCGAAGCCACGGACGCAGAGGGCCGUGUGGUGCAGAGCAGAGGCGGCGAGCCAAUGCGGCUGGAGAUGCGAUGGCGGGGAUGGCCUGGACAAGGCCGGAGGUCGGGGAGGGAGCUGCUGAUGGUGGCCGGACCAGGACUUGAGGCGGCGGAGCUCCUGCUCGGCGACAAGCGACGCAGCAAGGAGGAGACGCUCCGGGACGGCUCGGGCUCCAGGAGCUCGGGUGAGGGACGAGGAAGGGAGACGCGAGGACGAGGUGGGUUGACGGGGCGGCGUGGUUCACGAGAUGGACAGCGCGGGGCUGCAGGAUCCGGUUGAGGCAUGGCCUGCGGUGCGGCUUGUAGCAGAACGGGCACGGGCGUUCCUCUGGCGCUGGCUAUGGGCGUGCGGCGGCGCGGUACAUGGCCAUGGGGAUUGGGAUCCCCCCUUGGUCGCACUAAGAAGAUGAGGGAGGAGACGAACAAGGGGAGAGGGAUCGGGCUGUGGGUCUCUCUCUGGUGCUCGAUACGUGUGUGGUGGCGGCGCCGAGGAAAAAGGACGGGAGGAGGAGGGAAUGAGAGAUGGAGAGGGUGGUUGCGAUCGGCUAGGGUUAGCAGUGGGUUGCGAGACUCCUUGGGCCAGGGAGGCCGGCCCAUCAGAGAGGGUUAGGUAGGUUGGGCUAGCUGCGCAAAUGGGCCGGUCUAGAUGGACAGACCCAAGAGGUUGGCUGGGCUGGCUCUCUUCUCUCUCCCUCUAAUUCUCUUUUACUCCUUUAUUUCCUGAUUUAACAAAUAAACCGAGGAAUAAGAAAUGUAGAGAGAGAUAGGAGAAGAAAUUGAGCAGGGCGCCAAUUUUCUUGGACUCAUAAAAAUGAGCUUGAUCCAAGAAAAAUACAUUUGGCACCAUUUGGAAGGAUUGCAUUCGAACACAUUUGAAUGUGAUUCAAAUGAGUUUGAAUUAGGAAAACAUUUUUAGAGAGUCCAAGAAUGUUCGGAAUAUUGGUGGAGCUCCGGAAAAUGGAGAAAGGAUAAAAGCAAAGUUUGGGGACCAAACUCAAAGCGAGAAAAGGCAUGUGAUUAUUUGUAAGUGUGUUCAUGGGUAAAUUCAAAAGAAUGGAAAUAUUUAUAAUAGCUCCCUAAUAACGGGAGGAUAUGUUAUAAAGAGAAUCACCAAGUGAAUUCCCUCGGUUUAAAUGGAUCAAAGAUCCAUGCCAUUUAUUUAGAUGAGAUGCAAAAGAUUUAUGACAUGAUGACAUGAUGCAAAGCAAACAUAAAAGGAGCAAGUAAAAAUAAAACACACCGAGAAACCCGGGAACCCUGGAAGGCAACUGAAGCUCCGGUCUUGGGGCGUUACAACACUCCACCACUACAAGAGGAUCUCAUCCCGAGAUCCAGGAUGGCACCGAAGGGAAAAGGAAGAGGAAGAGAAGAAGUAAAACUAAGUUGCUUCUUUGACAACCGAGUGAAACCACGAACCUUGAAAGGUUGAAUAACUUGAAAGAAAGAAAAACAACA